This 1042-nucleotide ribosomal RNA is filed under the name uncultured fungus. RNAcentral describes it as "partial 28S ribosomal RNA". The stretch from base 288 to 1042 matches the Rfam family "Eukaryotic large subunit ribosomal RNA", at positions 1 to 664 of the family's 3401-position model. Lineage: Eukaryota; Fungi. The record is from RNAcentral.
AUUCGGGUGGGAGGGGGGCCCCCCGCCCGGGGCGAAAACGGCCCCCCCCCCCCAACUUCAAAAGGGCGAGGGAAGGGGAGAACAGAACACAACGGGAAAGAACCCUCUUCCCCAGCGCGGCCGGGCCUCUCACGUAGGGAAGUUGGAUUUUUUCAUUUAGGUGGGCCGGGCUGGUGUGCCGGAAGGAUUGCAGGGAAGUAAGCUACAUGCAGUCGGGGCUCGGGGGUUGGUUAAGCAGGCCCCCCGAAUAUUACACCAGCACCCGUCUGGGGGGGAAAAUUGGGUGAAGGCGGGCGCGCAUACCCCCCUGCCCGCCGAAUUUUAGACAUUCCAAUAGACAGAGGAAAAGAAACUAGCAAGGAUGAAGCUCGUUUCGCCGAGUGAAGCGGGAAGAGCUCAUAUUUAAGGUCUGGUUAGCUAGCUUCUCCGAGUUGUAGUCUGAAGAAACGUUUUCGAUGAAACUCUGAGCACAAGUGAUUUGGAACAGGGCAUGAUAGAGGGUGAGAAUCCCGUCCAUGGUCUCAGAGUUUUCCAUUAUGUGAUACGUUUUGUAAGAGUCGAGUUGUCUGGGAAUGCAGCUCAAAAUGGGUGGUAAAUCUCAUCUAAAGCUAAAUAUUGGCGAGAGACCGAUAGCGAACAAGUACCGUGAGGGAAAGAUGAAAAGAACUUUGAAAAGAGAGUUAAACAGUACGUGAAAUUGUUGAAAGGGAAACGUUUGAAAUCAGUCAUUUCUUCUGGAAAUCAGCCUUGCUUUUGCAUGGUGUAUUUUCCAGUGGAAAGGUUAACGUCAAUUUUGGUUGUCGGAUAAAAGCCUUUGGAAUGUGGCUCUCUUCGGGGAGUGUUAUAGCCAAGGUCAAUACGAUGACUGGGAAUGAGGAUUCGCCGCCAAUGCUCUCUGGGCAGUGGCAUCAUGCGCUCAGGUUAACACUAUGCUAGACAGCUUGCAGACUAGUAGUUUGAAGAUUUCACUCGUGUGUGUUCCCACUGCAUCCGCGUAGGUCGCUAACUCAAUGGUUUAUAAACGUCCCGUCGUGAAGCACGG